GCGCGAAACAAAGGCGCGGCAUCCAUCAGUACCGUCCUGGACGGACAGGAAUCCGGCGGAAGGGACGGGAAAGGGGAUGUUGCCGAAGGCGGAUCGGUUCCUGGCGGUCCGGCCUGGGGCUGCAUUGAAGAAGUGCAGCACUGCCGCAAGUUCUUCCCCACGGGAUUUGCGGAGCGUUGUUUCGUGC
Molecule: non-coding RNA, 187 nt
Filed under: Bacillus thermozeamaize
Lineage: Bacteria; Bacillati; Bacillota; Bacilli; Caryophanales; Bacillaceae
Description: Lysine sequence
Rfam family: Lysine riboswitch aptamer
About the family: Riboswitches are metabolite binding domains within certain messenger RNAs that serve as precision sensors for their corresponding targets. Allosteric rearrangement of mRNA structure is mediated by ligand binding, and this results in modulation of gene expression.
Source: RNAcentral